RNAcentral lists this long non-coding RNA (1686 nucleotides) under Helianthus annuus (common sunflower). RNAcentral's name for it is "hypothetical non coding rna". The record is from RNAcentral. Lineage: Eukaryota; Viridiplantae; Streptophyta; Magnoliopsida; Asterales; Asteraceae.
AAAAUUUACCCGGUAAAUAUUAUGAUUUAAAUAAUUAAUCCUAAUAUUAAACAAAAAGUCAAUAAAAGCUUUUAAAGAAAUAAAAUGGAUAAAAGGCCCGGGUUAACGGGACCUAAAAUAAACUUAGUUAUAAAUAUUCCCGAACCCGCUAAGUUAACUAGGAAUAUUAAACCUGGUUAAUAAGCAGGAAUAUUAUUGAAAGUAAUUAGGUUAUGACCUAAUUAAUAACUAACCAAACACGAGGGACCAAAGCCGGGUAACUUGAAAAUGGAAUUAUAAACUUAAAAUAUAACACAACACACACACUUGAGGUGUGUGUGCGUGCGUGAAGUAGUCCAGGAGAAGGAGCAAGAAGCUCCAAACCCUAGCUCAAACAAUCUCAACAAAUUGAAGGGGCAAAUCAAGUCCAAAUCAAAAUCUGAGUAUGAAUUAGUGAUCUCCAUUGAAAAAGAAGUCACGAGGUAUGUAAAUUUCUUGAGAAAUCUCUAGUUGAAAUUCCGAGCAAACCUAGGGAAUUCGAAUCUGAGCUUGCAUGUUUGUUGUUUGGAUGAAACUAUGUCUAGUAGUAAACCCUAGCCAUGUAUUUGUUGAAUUGAUGUUCAUGGUUGUGAAUUCAUGAUCAUACACUCAUGUGUCAAGUGGGUUUUGAUUAUGUAGUAAAGAUGAUGAUGUACACAUGUUUAAAAUCAUCAUAGUUGCUAGUAGAAACAAGAUACUUGAACAAUUUGCAAGUUGGGUGUUGAACAUACGUGACUUGAAAUGGUUUUUUUUGGAUAAUUAAAUGAAAUUGAUGUCCUAUUGGUGUUUAUAAACAUCAUACUAAUUCAUAUGAAUGAACUACUUGAACAAAUUAGAGAUUUUGUUAAGAGUUCAUAAGUGACUAGAAGUGGGUCUUGACAUAAGAGUUAAAACCAUGAUUUUUGAUGGUCAAAGUGUGUAUAUGCUUAUAAUAACUGAAAUUUACAUGUUAAUUUAUUACUACUUGAGGUAGGAAUUGGAUGACAUGUUAGUUAAUUUGGCGCCUCAAAAGAUGAUGCUCACUAAGUGUUGAUAAUAUGCCUAAUUGAGUCUUGUGAACUUGAUAGUGCAAUCAUAUGUGAUAAUUGGCGAUUUGACUUUAAAAAGUCAAACCGACCUACAAUGUGAUGAAUACAAAUUUUUAUACGAAAAACGUAAGGUGGGAAUAGUCAUGAUUUAUAAUGACUAAACUAACCAUCUUACGAAUUAUGAUUAUAGUUUGACGCUUAACAAGCUAGGUAGAGGCUUGUGGAGGAAGCGGGUCAAACAGAUCGAGUACAAAAGGAAAGCGUGGCUUAGAUGCAAGGUACACUUUGGAUGCCGGAAGAUGAUUAAGCUCAACGAAGAACCGAACACGAUAUAGAUACAUGCUUCCGCACCUUGCUUCGUCGUAAACUUAAACGACGAAUCCGAUCACGUUAUGUUUAAUAACUUAUGAAUUGUAAAAGUUUUAAUAAACCCGUAUUUCCGAUGUGUAUGUAAUCUUAAAUUACAUGAUUGUUUUACGUAAAUUAUACGUUAGACCUUGAAUUAUAGGAAACGGGUGUUAUAACUUUUCCAUUUAGAGGAUUUAUCAAAAGCGCAACUUAAGAUUAGAUGUAUGAAAUUAGUUGAAGCCUGUUUUAAGUUUUCAAUUAUGUAUUAACCUUUUGUUUUAAUCUUGUUAUU